RNAcentral lists this transfer RNA (75 nucleotides) under Nitrososphaerota archaeon. RNAcentral describes it as "tRNA-Arg". It matches the Rfam family "tRNA". Rfam says of the family: Transfer RNA (tRNA) molecules are approximately 80 nucleotides in length. The record is from RNAcentral. RNAcentral also lists the same sequence under 2 other names. Lineage: Archaea; Thermoproteati; Nitrososphaerota.
GGGCCCGUAGCGCAGCAUGGAUAGCGCGGCAGCCUCCUAAGCUGUAGGUCGUGGGUUCGAAUCCCACCGGGCCCG